UACAGAGGUGGCAAGCGUUGUUCGGAAUUACUGGGACGUAAGGGCGCGUAGGCGGCUUGGUCAGUCCCGUGUGAAAUCCCUCCGGCUCAACUGAGGAACUGCACGGGAAACUGCCUGGCUUGAGUUCGGGAGAGGGAAGCGGAAUUCCGGGUGGUAGCGGUGAAAUGCGUAGAUAUCCGGAGGAACACCGGUGGCGAAGGCGGCUUCCUGGACCGACA
Molecule: ribosomal RNA, 218 nt
Filed under: uncultured bacterium
Lineage: Bacteria
Description: partial 16S ribosomal RNA
Rfam family: Bacterial small subunit ribosomal RNA
Source: RNAcentral